AUUGAACGCUGGCGGCAUGCCUUACACAUGCAAGUCGAACGGCAGCACGGGAGCAAUCCUGGUGGCGAGUGGCGAACGGGUGAGUAAAGUAUCGGAACGUGCCCAGUCGUGGGGGAUAACGUAGCGAAAGUUAUGCUAAUACCGCAUACGAUCUAUGGAUGAAAGCGGGGGAUCGCAAGACCUCGCGCGAUUGGAGCGGCCGAUAUCCGAUUAGGUAGUUGGUGGGGUAAAGGCUCACCAAGCCGACGAUCUGUAGCUGGUCUGAGAGGACGACCAGCCACACUGGGACUGAGGCACGGCCCAGACUCCUACGGGAGGCAGCAGUGGAGAAUUUUGGACAAUGGGCGAAAGCCUGAUCCAGCCAUGCCGCGUGCAGGAUGAAGGCCUUCGGGUUGUAAACUGCUUUUGUACGGAACGAAAAGGUUUGGCCUAAUAAGCUGAGCUCAUGACGGUACCGUAAGAAUAAGCACCGGCUAACUACGUGCCAGCCGCCGCGGUAA
Molecule: ribosomal RNA, 500 nt
Filed under: uncultured bacterium
Lineage: Bacteria
Description: partial 16S ribosomal RNA
Rfam family: Bacterial small subunit ribosomal RNA
Source: RNAcentral